Molecule: small RNA, 2621 nt
Filed under: Pongo abelii (Sumatran orangutan)
Lineage: Eukaryota; Metazoa; Chordata; Mammalia; Primates; Hominidae
Description: retained intron
Source: RNAcentral
UGUAUGCCUCGUCCUGGUUCCUCACACUGUUUCUGACCACCUUCCCACUCCCCGUCGCCACGCGGGUCUUCGACAUCUUCAUGUAUGAGGGGCUGGAGAUCGUGUUCCGAGUGGGCCUCGCCCUGCUGCAGGUGAACCAGGCGGAGCUGAUGCAGCUGGACAUGGAGGGGAUGUCCCAGUACUUCCAGAGAGUGAUCCCCCACCAGUUCGACAGCUGCCCGGACAAGCUGGUCCUCAAAGCCUACCAGGUCAAGUACAACCCCAAGAAGAUGAAGAGGCUGGAGAAGGAGUACGCAGCCAUGAAGAGCAAGGAGAUGGAGGAGCAGAUCGAGAUCAAAAGGCUUCGGACGGAGAACCGGCUCCUGAAACAGCGGAUUGAAACCCUAGAGAAGAGAUAGUCCACUGCGUUAGUGACAAGUGGUUCUUGUCUGUCUCCCCUCUCCUGUCCCCGCGCCUUCCGCUCUGCCUCCUCCCCCUGUCGCUGGGAACCCCCUUCGCCGGGUAGGAGAGCGCUGCUCUGGCUGAUAGGUUAAUCCAGGUACUGUAGCUUUUUAUCCCCUCUCCGGAUUCCUUCCUGGCCCCUUCCCUGCACCCUGCACAUGACAGCCAGUAACUGCCUCUUCCCUGCCAUUCUGCGGGCAGGCCUGGCGCCAUGCAUGGAGCAGCUGGGGACCGCUUCUGGGGGACACAGAGGCUUCCCGGGGGGCGGGGCAUGUGAAGUGGGGAGAAGGGUGUGUGUGGAGGGGCUGUGAGUGCGUUUGGGUGUGAAUGUCCACACACAUGUACAGAAAGCUUCCUCCGGGCGACACAGGGUGGGGACCCAGGAGGGCUGGGGAACCUAAAACCAUAUUCACAUAAGGCCCUGGUGUGUGCAGUGCUGCGGUCACACACACGCACAACACGCACAACACAUGCACACACACAUGCACACACGUGCCCCGGCCCUCACGCUGCUGCUCUCUGCUCCUACCUGCAAUGCCUGCUACCACCUUCUCUAGCUCACCUGCUCCUGCUGCCACCUCAUCUUGAAUGGCUUUAUCUGGAAGCUGCCACCCGCCACCUGGUGGCUUUGAGCCUGGAAUGGGGGGCCCAAGUUGGGAAGGGGACAAAGAUGAGGUGGGGGAAAAGAAGGGGGUCUUAGCCCCAGGCAGGUGGAGGCCACAGAGCCUAGGACUAGAGAAGAUGCCCCUGGGAGAGGUGAAUGCCCCCGGGAGCCCAGCCCUGUCCUCAGCUGUCCCCAGAUCCUCACCCUCACCAGCAGAGUCUGGCAUGAAUAGGCACAGGUGGCCUCGCUGUGCCCCUGGAUAAGGACCCCAACUGGGGCAGAGACUGAGAGCCAGAGUGGGGAAGGAGAUGGAGCUCUCCAAGCCCAGGGCUAGCUCUGUUCCUCCCGGGCUCCUCCAGGUGUCCUAUUCCUGCCUGUCACCCACCCACGUCCCCAGGCCCAGUGGGACGCUCAUCCCAGGCUCUGAGUACGGGAGGCCCCCACCUCACUUCCCCCCACCUCCACUCUCUGGGCCUCCCCCUGUGGCGGGAGGCAGGGCCUUGGGUGGGAGUCGAGGGUCACGGCCUCCCCCUGCCCCCUGUCCUCGCUGUUCUCAGGGGCAAGUGACACGGGCGCAGGAGGCGGAGGAGAACUAUGUCAUCAAGCGGGAGCUGGCGGUGGUGCGGCAACAGUGCAGCUCGGCAGCUGAGGACCUGCAGAAGGCCCAGAGCACCAUCCGGCAGCUACAGGAGCAGCAGGUACAGGCGGGUGUGCGGGGCUGCUGGGCGGGGCCAUGCCCCGCGCCCCCGCCCCCGCCUCCGCCCCCGCCCCCGCCCAACGGUUUUCUUUCAGGGCUCAUAUCUGCCCCGCCUCAGCACCUGGCCCUCCUGUUCCUUUCUGGGGUAAGGGGAACCCAGAGACAAGCGCAGAUUCUCCCCCAGCAGCUCCACAUUGUGAGACAUCCUGAUAUCCAUUUCUUGCCACCUCGUAGUGUGUCUGCAGUAUCUGACUUCCCAACCCCCAGUCUCAGCACGGAGGCCUCUGAAGACCGGGCUGUCCCUGCAGGGUUUCCUCUGUGUCACAGGCAGCAGACAGGGCUGUGACUCCUUACGGAGGCCCUUACCUCUCCCCAGGGUCUGAAGGAUUGUUUGGUGUCCCUGGGGGGCCAGCCAUGAAGAAUGGGAGCAGGGCAGUCCGGGACUGUUUGGGCAGCUCUGAGCCAGCAGGGUGGGGCUGAGGGGGCACCCUGAGUGUCUUGUGGGCCAUGAACUUUGGGUCCCAUGAUGGGCAGGCCCAUGAGCUGGGACCCCACCCCAAGAUUUGCUUCUCCUGAAAGCUUUUAGAACUUAACUUCGACCUGGUGCCGUGGCUCACGCCUUUAAUCUCAGCACUUUGGGAGGCUGAGGCGGGCAGAUCACCUGAGGUUAGGAGUUUGAGACCAGCCUGGCCAACAUGAUGAAGCCCCAUCUCUAAUAAAAAUACAAAAAUAAGCUGGGUAUGGUGGUGCGUGCCUGUAGUGCCAGCUACUCAGGAGGCUGAGGCGGGAGGAUCACUUGAACCCGGGAGGUGGAGGUUGCAGUGAGCCAAGAUGGCACCACUGCACUCCAGCCUGGGUGACAGAGCAAGACUCCAUCUC